UUAAUUAACUAGGGGCGCAAUUUGCUGAGACGGCUACCGCCGAACCCUUUGAACCUGUGAGCUAACCCUCGCGUAGGAAAGUUAACGAAACCGAUA
RNAcentral lists this non-coding RNA (96 nucleotides) under Secundilactobacillus oryzae. RNAcentral describes it as "Lactobacillus oryzae TPP sequence". It matches the Rfam family "TPP riboswitch aptamer (THI element)". Rfam says of the family: Vitamin B(1) in its active form thiamin pyrophosphate (TPP) is an essential coenzyme that is synthesised by coupling of pyrimidine and thiazole moieties in bacteria. The record is from RNAcentral. Lineage: Bacteria; Bacillati; Bacillota; Bacilli; Lactobacillales; Lactobacillaceae.